GAUGAACGCUGGCGGCGUGCCUAACACAUGCAAGUCGAGCGAUUCUCUUCGGAGAAGAGCGGCGGACGGGUGAGUAACGCGUGGGUAACCUGCCUUGUACACACGGAUAACAUACCGAAAGGUAUGCUAAUACGAGAUAAUAUGCUUUUAUCGCAUGGUAGAAGUAUCAAAGCUUUUGCGGUACAGGAUGGACCCGCGUCUGAUUAGCUAGUUGGUAAGGUAACGGCUUACCAAGGCGACGAUCAGUAGCCGACCUGAGAGGGUGAUCGGCCACAUUGGAACUGAGACACGGUCCAAACUCCUACGGGAGGCAGCAGUGGGGAAUAUUGCACAAUGGGCGAAAGCCUGAUGCAGCAACGCCGCGUGAGCGAUGAAGGCCUUCGGGUCGUAAAGCUCUGUCCUCAAGGAAGAUAAUGACGGUACUUGAGGAGGAAGCCACGGCUAACUACGUGCCAGCCGCCGCCGUAA
This 468-nucleotide ribosomal RNA is filed under the name uncultured bacterium. Its description in RNAcentral is "partial 16S ribosomal RNA". It matches the Rfam family "Bacterial small subunit ribosomal RNA", at positions 28 to 523 of the family's 1533-position model. The record is from RNAcentral.